CUACGGGGGGCAGCAGUGAGGAAUAUUGCACAAUGGGGGGAACCCUGAUGCAGCAACGCCGCGUGGAGGAUGACGCAUUUCGGUGUGUAAACUCCUUUUAUAUGUCGAGAAAAUGACGGUAGCAUAUGAAUAAGCACCGGCUAACUCCGUGCCAGCAGCCGCGGUAAUACGGAGGGUGCAAGCGUUACUCGGAAUCACUGGGCGUAAAGGACGCGUAGGCGGGUUGGAAAGUCAGGUGUGAAAUCCUACAGCUUAACUGUAGAACUGCACUUGAAACUUCUAAUCUAGAGUAUGGGAGGGGGAGAUGGAAUUAGUGGUGCAGGGGUAAAAUCCGUAGAUAUCACUAGGAAUACCUAAAGCGAAGGCGAUCUCCUGGAACAUUACUGACGCUAAGGCGUGAAAGCGUGGGGAGCAAACAGGAUUAGAUACCCUAGUAGUC
Molecule: ribosomal RNA, 439 nt
Filed under: uncultured bacterium
Lineage: Bacteria
Description: partial 16S ribosomal RNA
Rfam family: Bacterial small subunit ribosomal RNA
Source: RNAcentral